AGUAACGCGUAAAGAACUUGCCUCACAGUUAGGGACAACAUUUGGAAACGAAUGCUAAUACCUGAUAUUAUGAUUUUAGGGCAUCCUAAGAUUAUGAAAGCUAUAUGCGCUGUGAGAGAGCUUUGCGCCCCAUUAGCUAGUUGGAGAGGUAACGGCUCACCAAGGCGAUGAUGGGUAGCCGGCCUGAGAGGGUGAACGGCCACAAGGGGACUGAGACACGGCCCUU
Molecule: ribosomal RNA, 226 nt
Filed under: uncultured bacterium
Lineage: Bacteria
Description: partial 16S ribosomal RNA
Rfam family: Bacterial small subunit ribosomal RNA
Source: RNAcentral